CCAGUGAUGUGCAAGUCGCGGGAAACCGUGGAACGCUCAAGUAUCUACAGCCUGCUUGUAACAAGACAGCGGUUUACCCACGAAGAUAGAUAUUUUUUGCCUUGUAGCUAUGCAAGUAAUAUUGACAACGUAUAGCCUAACAUAGUCUUUCCCCAACGAUAUUAGAAUUAAAGAUAAUGUUUUGUUACUUUAGUUGUGAUUGGUGUUUUGAAUCGAAACGGAACGAGAGCUAUGUUAUCUCCUAUAGAAUUUCUGAUGUUAUCACUGACUAUUUACUCUUUCGGUGCAGCUAUUGAUGAUUUUAACAUGGAUAUGGGUCGGGACAGUUUUGGGAAAGAUAAAGUGAACUUGUUGGAACAUCUAUCCCUUCUGGCCCUGAACAACGCUAACGCGUCCUUAACUGUGGGGAUCCAGACGUGUCUGACUCUUCACGUGGGCCUGUACGCCACUCUAGCGUUGGCCACGUACCAGGCGUUUGGACCACGGUUUACGGAUGAGUUCAGCGUGCUGAUGGAGCUGUGCAGCGUUCAGCAGGAGGAGAGCAGCCUGGUGACCGUGCUCAGUCCUUACAACCACAUCCAGCUCCAGCUCCGCCUCAGGCCAUACGCUCUCACGUUCAUCUCCACCCAUCAUAGACAUUACGAGUUCCCAGUAGGUGUCCUGUCUGAUGGCCAGUGGCACCGGGUGUCUCUUGGAGUGUCUACCAGUUGGCUGGCCCUGUAUGUGGACUGUGAACUGGUGGAGAGGGUGACCUGGACAUACCCUGAACAAGACAUUACCACUGACGGCCUGCUGAUGCUGGGAGGCAUCCUUGAGGGCUUUGAGACCCCAUUUGAAGGUGCUUUACGACAGAUGACCUUUGUGAUGGGUGAUGCUGAUGCAGCCAGAGACCACUGUAGCCACCACCUCCCUGUAUGUAACAGGAAGGCCCUGAACGCUCCACGCUCUGCUAGGACUCCCCAUGCACACCAGGAUGUGGCUUUCUCUGGUGACCUGCUAGAUGAUUUGAUAAACGGUACUGGGAGUUCAAGAGAGAGUUCCACUGAUAUAACAGAUGAUGUCAUGGCUGCCUCCCUCCCAAAGAACAACUCUCCCGUCUCCCGGCACUCAGCAGCCCUACAGAACAGGAAGGGUUCCUACCCCUCUAUGCUCACCCUGCACCCGGGUACAGGUGGCCAUUCCAGUGGGCCCUCUAAAGUUAUAUCCUCGGAUGAGAACAUCACCACAGAGCGUGACAUCAUCGACCUGGACCCCCGCAGCCCCUCCCCAGACCCCGGUGUGUUCAUGGAAGAGAACCUGCUGCCCGCUGAGGUGUUACCAGCGAAGCAGGGAAAGACUAGCGGUAGCCCUAUCAUACGGAGAAGCCGCGGGAAGAGUGCUGAUGUAGGACGGGCUAGAUCUGACCACACAGGCUUACUGACAGUGGCCCCUAAUCCUAGUGAGGGA
Molecule: long non-coding RNA, 1446 nt
Organism: Esox lucius (northern pike)
Lineage: Eukaryota; Metazoa; Chordata; Actinopteri; Esociformes; Esocidae
Source: Ensembl